This is a long non-coding RNA of Leptopilina boulardi, 426 nucleotides long. RefSeq lists it as uncharacterized. Lineage: Eukaryota; Metazoa; Arthropoda; Insecta; Hymenoptera; Figitidae. The transcript is spliced from 2 exons. The record is from RefSeq and is a predicted model, not a curated record.
AAACGUAUAAAAACCCCUUGUGUUUUAAAUCGAACAAUUACUUUUCAACAAUCAUCUUUAAAGUUCAUUUGAUAUUAAAACAUACAAAUAAAAUGUCAAAACUUUUAUCAAGUGGAAUUUUGUUACUAUUAAUUGUAACAAUUUUAAUGUUGAUGGCACCUUCAGUUAUGGGGUGCAUUAAAAAUGGAAAAAGAUGUAAAUCCAAUGGAAGUAUGGGAAAUUGUUGCUCUGGAUUUUGUCUACAACAACCACGUCAGAAAUAUGGAAAAUGUCAAUAAAUAAUAAUUUAUAUUGUCAUUUGAAAAUCUUAUAAAAAAAAAAAUUAAAUGUCAAAUAUUUAAUUUAUAUAUUUUUUUUCUCAAAAUUAAUAAUUAUUUAAUUAAUUAUAAUAUAUAUUAGAAAUCAAUAAAAAUUAUUGCAUUCCAA